CCUACGGGAGGCAGCAGUGAGGAAUAUUGAUCAAUGGUCGGGAGACUGAACCAGCCAAGCCGCGUGAGGGAUGAAGGUACAGAGUAUCGUAAACCUCUUUUGUCAGGGAACAAAGGCGGGGACGUGUCCCCGGAUGAGUGUACCUGAAGAAAAAGCAUCGGCUAACUCCGUGCCAGCAGCCGCGGUAAUACGGAGGAUGCGAGCGUUAUCCGGAUUUAGUGGGUUUAAAGGGUGCGCAGGCGGUCUGUUAAGUCAGCGGUCAAAGCCCGGGGCACAACCCCGGCCCGCCGUUGAAACUGGCAGUCUCGAGUUGGAGAGAAGUAUGCGGAAUGCGCGGUGUAGCGGUGAAAUGCAUAGAUAUCGCGCAGAACUCCGAUUGCGAAGGCAGCAUGCCGGCUCCACACUGACGCUGAGGCACGAAAGCGUGGGUAUCGAACAGGAUUAGAUACCCCGGUAGUC
RNAcentral lists this ribosomal RNA (459 nucleotides) under uncultured bacterium. RNAcentral's name for it is "partial 16S ribosomal RNA". It matches the Rfam family "Bacterial small subunit ribosomal RNA", at positions 338 to 795 of the family's 1533-position model. The record is from RNAcentral.